AGCGAACGUUAGCGGCGGGCUUAACACAUGCAAGUCGAGCGAGAAAGGGGCUUCGGCCCUGAGUACAGCGGCGGACGGGUGAAUAACACGUAGGUAAUCUUCCUUUCAGCGGGGGACAACGGUCCGAAAGGACCGCUAAUACCGCAUACGUUCCCUGGGACCUCGGUCCUGGGGAGGAAAGGCCCGCAAGGGCCACUGGAUGAGGGGCCUGCGUAGCAUCAGCUAGUUGGUGGGGUAAUGGCCUACCAAGGCGAAGACGCUUAGCUGGUCUGAGAGGAUGAUCAGCCACACUGGGACUGAGACACGGCCCAGACUCCUACGGGAGGCAGCAGUAGGGAAUAUUGGACAAUGGGUGCGAGCCUGAUCCAGCCAUGCCGCGUGCAGGAAGACGGCCUUCUGGGUUGUAAACUGCUUUUGCCAGGGGAUAAAAAAGUCCCUGCGGGGAAAAGUUAGAAGGGUAACCUGGUGAAUAAGCCACGGCUAACUACGUGCCAGCAGCCGCGGUAAU
This 508-nucleotide ribosomal RNA is filed under the name uncultured bacterium. RNAcentral's name for it is "bacterial SSU rRNA". It matches the Rfam family "Bacterial small subunit ribosomal RNA", at positions 29 to 524 of the family's 1533-position model. The record is from RNAcentral.